RNAcentral lists this long non-coding RNA (285 nucleotides) under Nicotiana benthamiana. RNAcentral describes it as "long non-coding RNA (NBEN_LNC030141)". Lineage: Eukaryota; Viridiplantae; Streptophyta; Magnoliopsida; Solanales; Solanaceae. The record is from RNAcentral.
AUAUUCUUGUAUAUAAUCCUACAUAUAUACAAAUAUAUAUCAUGUUAUCUAGUUAGACACAAGCAAGUUCUGACACUAAUUGAUGGAAAACAGGUAUGAACAACUGAUGCAAAUAGCCAUGAUCACUUGCAUGUAAAAUAGACAACACAUAAUCACAGAUUUUAAUCAAACAUAAAAUCGAUACAUAUCUCUUAAAGCGUGACUGCGAUCGCGAGAAGCCUCCAAGCAAGAACGAAACUAUCCACGAGAUCAUCCUCCAGUUCUACAGUCUUCUACUGUGUGACC